RNAcentral lists this ribosomal RNA (253 nucleotides) under uncultured bacterium. RNAcentral describes it as "partial 16S ribosomal RNA". It matches the Rfam family "Bacterial small subunit ribosomal RNA", at positions 524 to 776 of the family's 1533-position model. The record is from RNAcentral.
GACGAAGGGGGCUAGCGUUGUUCGGAAUUACUGGGCGUAAAGCGAGUGUAGGUGGUUGUCCAAGUUGGAUGUGAAAGCCUUGAGCUCAACUCAAGAAAUGCAUUCAGGACUGGGCGGCUAGAGGACCGGAGAGGAUAGUGGAAUUCCCAGUGUAGUGGUGAAAUACGUAGAGAUUGGGAAGAACACCAGUGGCGAAGGCGGCUAUCUGGACGGUUUCUGACACUAAGACUCGAAGGCGUGGGGAGCAAACAGG